AUGCUUUAUGAUCAAAUGAUCAAGUGCAGCUCCCCCAGCCAGCAGGCUACUUGUUGCUUCUCAGAGUUGAGUUUGACCAUGGUUCGUCAAGGAACGCAUGAGCAGAACGAGCCUGGAGUUGGAGCCGCCGGUGCUGGUGCCGGAGAGGAAGUCGAGGUUCUGGGCGGACUGGAGGUUCUGCCCCGAUACGGGGUGCGGCGAGAUACGGCCGCCGGAGAUGGGCCCGGCCUGCCACACCGUGUUCUGCGACGUGGUGUUGCCCGGCAGCGCCACGGUGGCGUAGAUGGUGUAGGCGCCGCCGGCGUACUCGGCGCUGGCCGGGACGGGCACGUCGAAGGAGAGGGCGGUGUUGUCGAGGGUGGGGGCCGUGGUCCUCAGGAUGGUGGUGAGCACGGACACGGCGCCGCCGCUCUGCGAGGCGACGAACACGUUGCUGCCGGCCAUGCCGCUGCCGCUGGGGUUGAUGCCCCAGCCGACCCACCCGUCGGCGCCGGACGGCGCCCGGAAGGCGAUGUCGGCCGUGCCGUUCCCGGCGUGGUACGUCCAGUGGAGGCUGGCGCCGAGCACGGGCAGCUGGUUGCACUUGAGGAACGUCCGGCCCCCCGUGAAGGUCGCGGAGAGGCAGCCGCUCUGCGCCGCCGCGCCCGCCGCGAAGAGGAGCACCAGGAGGGGGAGCCACGCCGUGGAGUGGCCUGGCCGCGCCAUGGCAGCGAUGGAGGUCAGAGCAGGAGGUUGGAGGGGCGAAAUGGAGCGCGGGAGGCGGAGGAGGUGGUGGAGCGGAGGGAGCUGGUGGUGGUGAGAGGAGGAGGCGGGGGGAGGAGGUAUAUGUACCGACCGGCGACGCGAGGGCGCGGUUGUUGGGGAGGCUGCCGUGCGGGUGGAAACUUCCAUGCCGGUACGCGGGAGGGACAGAGUCUCCUUGGCUGCUGA
Molecule: ribosomal RNA, 930 nt
Filed under: Triticum aestivum (bread wheat)
Lineage: Eukaryota; Viridiplantae; Streptophyta; Magnoliopsida; Poales; Poaceae
Description: partial small subunit ribosomal RNA
Source: RNAcentral